GUGAACGCUGGCGGUAGGCCUAACACAUGCAAGUCGAACGGCAGCACAGUAAGAGCUUGCUCUUACGGGUGGCGAGUGGCGGACGGGUGAGGAAUACAUCGGAAUCUACUUUUUCGUGGGGGAUAACGUAGGGAAACUUACGCUAAUACCGCAUACGACCUACGGGUGAAAGCAGGGGAUCUUCGGACCUUGCGCGAUUGAAUGAGCCGAUGUCGGAUUAGCUAGUUGGCGGGGUAAAGGCCCACCAAGGCGACGAUCCGUAGCUGGUCUGAGAGGAUAAUCAGCCACACUGGAACUGAGACACGGUCCAGACUCCUACGGGAGGCAGCAGUGGGGAAUAUUGGACAAUGGGCGCAAGCCUGAUCCAGCCAUACCGCGUGGGUGAAGAAGGCCUUCGGGUUGUAAAGCCCUUUUGUUGGGAAAGAAAAGCAGCAGGUUAAUACCCCGCUGUUCUGACGGUACCCAAAGAAUAAGCACCGGCUAACUUCGUG
Molecule: ribosomal RNA, 491 nt
Filed under: uncultured bacterium
Lineage: Bacteria
Description: partial 16S ribosomal RNA
Rfam family: Bacterial small subunit ribosomal RNA
Source: RNAcentral